UUUGGUCAUUUAGAGGAAGUAAAAGUCGUAACAAGGUCUCCGUUGGUGAACCAGCGGAGGGAUCAUUACCGAGUCACGCACUCAAAUAACCCUUCUGUGGACCUGAAUUUAAACCGUUGCCUCGGCGGGCGGUCCCCUGCCAAAACCCACCACUACCCAUGUGGCGUGGCUUGGGCGGGGGACCAGACAGUUCGGCACGCUUAAGGCGUCCGGCGCCAGCCGCUGGCCCUAAACAAUUAAACUCUAGUAACCUUACCUUCUGAGUUUUAAUGCAAAAAAAUAAGUCAAAACUUUCAACAACGGAUCUCUUGGCUCUGGCAUCGAUGAAGAACGCAGCGAAAUGCGAUAAGUAAUGUGAAUUGCAGAAUUCAGUGAAUCAUCGAAUCUUUGAACGCACAUUGCGCCCGCUGGUAUUCCAGCGGGCAUGCCCGUUCGAGCGUCAUUUUAAUCCCUUCUCGUCGAGACUCUUCUAUUCUGUAGUGGAGUGUCAGCGGGGCGUUGGCACUGGGCCCCUUAUUUGUUUAGGCGGCCCGAGCCGAAAUGAAGCGGCGGACUCGCGGCGGCCCCUAGCCCAGUAGAAACAACCCCUUCUCGCUUAGGAGAGCCGCAGCGGCGGACCACAGCCUCUACUACAUGCUUUUUUUACAAAAGCUACAUACCAAAACUUGACCUCGGAUCGGGUAGGACUACCCGCUGAACUUAAGCAUAUCAAUAAGCGGAGGA
Molecule: ribosomal RNA, 723 nt
Filed under: uncultured fungus
Lineage: Eukaryota; Fungi
Description: eukaryotic LSU rRNA
Rfam family: 5.8S ribosomal RNA (bases 289-442)
Source: RNAcentral